This 457-nucleotide ribosomal RNA is filed under the name uncultured bacterium. Its description in RNAcentral is "bacterial SSU rRNA". It matches the Rfam family "Bacterial small subunit ribosomal RNA", at positions 340 to 786 of the family's 1533-position model. The record is from RNAcentral.
UACGGAAGGCAGCAGUGGGGAAUAUUGCACAAUGGGCGCAAGCCUGAUGCAGCCAUGCCGCGUGUAUGAAGAAGGCCUUCGGGUUGUAAAGUACUUUCAGUCGUGAGGAAGGUGUUAAGGUUAAUAACCUUAGCAAUUGACGUUAGCGACAGAAGAAGCACCGGCUAACUCCGUGCCAGCAGCCGCGGUAAUACGGAGGGUGCGAGCGUUAAUCGGAAUUACUGGGCGUAAAGGGCACGCAGGCGGUUAAUUAAGUUGGAUGUGAAAUCCCCGGGCUUAACCUGGGAAUGGCAUUCAAGACUGGUUAGCUAGAGUCUUGUAGAGAGGGGUUAGAAUUCCAUGUGUAGCGGUGAAAUGCGUAGAGAUGUGGAGGAAUACCGGGUGGCGAAGGCGGCCCCUGGGACAAAGACUGACGCUCAUGUGCGAAAGCGUGGGGAGCAAACAGGGAUUAGAUACC